RNAcentral lists this non-coding RNA (46 nucleotides) under Schistosoma haematobium. Lineage: Eukaryota; Metazoa; Platyhelminthes; Trematoda; Strigeidida; Schistosomatidae. The record is from RNAcentral.
AUCCAGCUGACGAGUCCCAAAUAGAACGACACGCGGCGUCCUGGAU